GUAGUAUUACCUCCGUCCCAAAGUUCUUGCCUUAGACUUAUUUAGAUACGAUGCAUCUAACAGUAAAAUGUGAUUAGAUACAACAUAUUUAGAAAAAUAUAAGACAAGAAUUUUGGGCCGGAGGAAGUAGUUG
Triticum aestivum (bread wheat) is the source of this 133-nucleotide non-coding RNA. Lineage: Eukaryota; Viridiplantae; Streptophyta; Magnoliopsida; Poales; Poaceae. The record is from Rfam.